UACGAAGGGGGCUAGCGUUGCUCGGAAUUACUGGGCGUAAAGGGCGCGUAGGCGGACAGUUUAGUCAGAGGUAAAAGCCCAGGGCUCAACCUUGGAACUGCCUUUGAUACUGACUGUCUUGAGUUCGGGAGAGGUGAGUGGAAUGCCAAGUGUAGAGGUGAAAUUCGUAGAUAUUCGGCGGAACACCAGUGGCGAAGGCGACUCACUGGCCCGAUACUGACGCUGAGGCGCGAAAGCGUGGGGAGCAAACAGG
This 253-nucleotide ribosomal RNA is filed under the name uncultured bacterium. RNAcentral's name for it is "partial 16S ribosomal RNA". It matches the Rfam family "Bacterial small subunit ribosomal RNA", at positions 524 to 776 of the family's 1533-position model. The record is from RNAcentral.